This 395-nucleotide ribosomal RNA is filed under the name uncultured bacterium. RNAcentral describes it as "partial 16S ribosomal RNA". It matches the Rfam family "Bacterial small subunit ribosomal RNA", at positions 523 to 918 of the family's 1533-position model. The record is from RNAcentral.
AUACGUAGGGUGCAAGCGUUAAUCGGAAUUACUGGGCGUAAAGCGUGCGCAGGCGGUUUUGUAAGACAGAGGUGAAAUCCCCGGGCUCAACCUUGGAACUGCCUUUGUGACUGCAAGGCUAGAGUACGGCAGAGGGGGAUGGAAUUCCGCGUGUAGCAGUGAAAGGCGUAGAUAUGCGGAGGAACACCGAUGGCGAAGGCGAUCCCCUGGGCCUGUACUGACGCUCAGGCACGAAAGCGUGGGGAGCAAACAGGAUUAGAUACCCUGGUAGUCCACGCCCUAAACGAUGUCAUCUGGUUGUUGGGUCUUCAUUGACUCAGUAACGAAGCUAACGCGUGAAGUUGACCGCCUGGGGAGUACGGCCGCAAGGUUGAAACUCAAAUGAAUGGACGGGG